This 403-nucleotide ribosomal RNA is filed under the name Actinomycetes bacterium. RNAcentral describes it as "Actinobacteria bacterium partial 16S ribosomal RNA". It matches the Rfam family "Bacterial small subunit ribosomal RNA", at positions 355 to 776 of the family's 1533-position model. Lineage: Bacteria; Bacillati; Actinomycetota; Actinomycetes. The record is from RNAcentral.
UGGGGAAUAUUGCACAAUGGGGGAAACCCUGAUGCAGCGACGCCGCGUGAACGAAGAAGGUAUUCGUAUCGUAAAGUUCUGUCCUAUGGGAAGAUAAUGACAGUACCAUAGAAGAAAGCUCCGGCUAAAUACGUGCCAGCAGCCGCGGUAAUACGUAUGGAGCGAGCGUUUUCCGGAAUUAUUGGGCGUAAAGGGUACGCAGGCGGUUUAAUAAGUCGAAUGUUAAAGAUCGGGGCUCAACCCCGUAAAGCAUUGGAAACUGAUAAAAUUGAGUAGUGGAGAGGAAAGUGGAAUUCCUAGUGUAGUGGUGAAAUACGUAGAUAUUAGGAGGAAUACCAGUUGCGAAGGCGACUUUCUGGACACAAACUGACGCUGAGGUACGAAAGCGUGGGGAGCAAACAGG